AAGGCUUCGGCCUUAGUGGCGCACGGGUGCGUAACGCGUGGGAAUCUGCCCCUUGGUUCGGAAUAACAGCGAGAAAUUGCUGCUAAUACCGGAUAAUGACGUAAGUCCAAAGAUUUAUCGCCUAGGGAUGAGCCCGCGUAGGAUUAGCUAGUUGGUGUGGUAAAGGCGCACCAAGGCGACGAUCCUUAGCUGGUCUGAGAGGAUGAUCAGCCACACUGGGACUGAGACACGGCCCAGACUCCUACGGGAGGCAGCAGUGGGGAAUAUUGGACAAUGGGCGAAAGCCUGAUCCAGCAAUGCCGCGUGAGUGAUGAAGGCCUUAGGGUUGUAAAGCUCUUUUACCCGGGAUGAUAAUGACAGUACCGGGAGAAUAAGCUCCGGCUAACUCCGUGCCAGCAGCCGCGGUAAUACGGAGGGAGCUAGCGUUAUUCGGAAUUACUGGGCGUAAAGCGCACGUAGGCGGCUUUGUAAGUUAGAGGUGAAAGCCUGGAGCUCAACUCCAGAAUUGCCUUUAAGACUGCAUCGCUUGAAUCCAGGAGAGGUGAGUGGAAUUCCGAGUGUAGAGGUGAAAUUCGUAGAUAUUCGGAAGAACACCAGUGGCGAAGGCGGCUCACUGGACUGGUAUUGACGCUGAGGUGCGAAAGCGUGGG
This 650-nucleotide ribosomal RNA is filed under the name uncultured bacterium. Its description in RNAcentral is "bacterial SSU rRNA". It matches the Rfam family "Bacterial small subunit ribosomal RNA", at positions 69 to 765 of the family's 1533-position model. The record is from RNAcentral.